Molecule: small nuclear RNA, 199 nt
Organism: Neofelis nebulosa (Clouded leopard)
Lineage: Eukaryota; Metazoa; Chordata; Mammalia; Carnivora; Felidae
Product: U2 spliceosomal RNA
Exons: 1
Source: RefSeq, a predicted model, not a curated record
AUCGCUUCUCGGCCUUUUGGCUAAGAUCAAGUGUAGUAUCUGUUCUUAUCAAAUGUACUUGGUGAAAAAAGGGGCGAGAAAGAGUGGAGGGAAAAAGGCCUUGUAAUGAUUGCCAGGCUGUAGGUUCAGGCGUACAAACUCCAAAAAGUACUUUGGUUUCUUUAUGAUUUCAUUCUAAUUUAUCACUUACUGAAUUUUU